CUAAAUGACCUGAUGUGAUUUUUUAUUUCCGUUUUUAUUUAUUUAUUUAUUUUUGCUGGUCCCAGUCCUGUAAAAUAUAUAACACAGUCUAAUACACGACGCUAUUGAAUACAACUGGGAAAGUUUAGUUACAACUUUGCAGGCUCUUUGACAAACGUGUCGGGCUUGUCUCGCGCAAAGAGCGCCAAACGUGCGGAGAAAAAACCGUUUAAGCACCAUUCCGCUUUUGCUUCAGGCUGACUGUGAUCCUGAUGACCCUGAAAUUCUCAGCAGUCCAGCACCUUCAUUCUUGUGCAAUUUUUGAAGUCCCUCACUGCAGACAAGAACUGACAGUAGCCCUCCUUCCUACACGCCCUUUCCGCUGACCUUUCCUGUCUGCUUUUCUCGGGUCCAGGCGAGAGUGAUGAAGCUUCUCAGUGCUCAGGCCAGUAUGACUAAGACAGAACAAGAUUACCUGUGACAUGGGCAGGGGAACAGAGGCACUAGAGUGUUUGUUCAGUGACACGGGUGUGCUGCAGUGCAUUGUGGGGCCGGAGUCGAUGCAUGUUCCAAUGAACUGCCUCAUUCGUCUCGAUAUGACCAGUCCGUGCUCUCUCUCUCUCUCUCUCCCUAAUGGGUAGGAACAGCUGUGAAAAAGAGCAGCUCACACUAACAUCAGCCAUUAUUUCAUUACUCUGAAUGUUGAAGUGUGCAGAGAGCCGAAGUACGUUAAUGACGACAGCACCAUGUCAACAUGGAUUGGAUGUGGCAUUUAUUACAGAUAUUGCAGGCUCUAUCAUACUGAUGCAUUACGCACAUGAUUGUGCGAAAUGCUGAAAGUGAACAUGCGUUUUUAUAUUGACUGACUUUAUUUCAUGUUA
Molecule: long non-coding RNA, 860 nt
Organism: Puntigrus tetrazona (Sumatra barb)
Lineage: Eukaryota; Metazoa; Chordata; Actinopteri; Cypriniformes; Cyprinidae
Exons: 3
Source: RefSeq, a predicted model, not a curated record